This 120-nucleotide ribosomal RNA is filed under the name Pteropus alecto (black flying fox). Lineage: Eukaryota; Metazoa; Chordata; Mammalia; Chiroptera; Pteropodidae. The record is from RNAcentral.
GUCUACAGCCCGUGCCACCCUGAACAAGCCUGAUCCCAUCUGAUCUUGGAAGCUAAGCAGGUUCGGGCCUGGUUAGUACUUGGAUGGGAGACCACCUAGGAAGACCAGGUACUGUAGGCA